GACGAACGCUGGCGGCGUGCUUAACACAUGCAAGUCGAACGGAAAGGCCCUGCUUUUGUGGGGUGCUCGAGUGGCGAACGGGUGAGUAACACGUGAGUAACCUGCCCUUGACUUUGGGAUAACUUCAGGAAACUGGGGCUAAUACCGGAUAGGAGCUCCUGCUGCAUGGUGGGGGUUGGAAAGUUUCGGCGGUUGGGGAUGGACUCGCGGCUUAUCAGCUUGUUGGUGGGGUAGUGGCUUACCAAGGCUUUGGCGGGUAGCCGGCCUGAGGGGGUGACCGGCCACAUUGGGACUGAGAUACGGCCCAGACUCCUACGGGAGGCAGCAGUGGGGAAUAUUGCACAAUGGGCGGAAGCCUGAUGCAGCAACGCCGCGUGCGGGAUGACGGCCUUCGGGUUGUAAACCGCUUUCGCCUGUGACGAAGCGUGAGUGACGGUAAUGGGUAAAGAAGCACCGGCUAACUACGUGCCAGCAGCCGCGGUGAUACGUAGGGUGCGAGCGUUGUCCGGAUUUAUUGGGCGUAAAGGGCUCGUAGGUGGUUGAUCGCGUCGGAAGUGUAAUCUUGGGGCUUAACCCUGAGCGUGCUUUCGAUACGGGUUGACUUGAGGAAGGUAGGGGAGAAUGGAAUUCCUGGUGGAGCGGUGGAAUGCGCAGAUAUCAGGAGGAACACCAGUGGCGAAGGCGGUUCUCUGGGCCUUUCCUGACGCUGAGGAGCGAAAGCGUGGGGAGCGAACAGGCUUAGAUACCCUGGUAGUCCACGCUGUAAACGGUGGGUACUAGGUGUGGGGUCCAUUCCACGGGUUCCGUGCCGUAGCUAACGCUUUAAGUACCCCGCCUGGGGAGUACGGCCGCAAGGCUAAAACUCAAAGGAAUUGACGGGGCCCCGCACAAGCGGCGGAGCAUGCGGAUUAAUUCGAUGCAACGCGUAGAACCUUACCUGGGUUUGACAUGGAUCGGGAGCGCUCAGAGAUGGGUGUGCCUCUUUUGGGGUCGGUUCACAGGUGGUGCAUGGCUGUCGUCAGCUCGUGUCGUGAGAUGUUGGGUUAAGUCCCGCAACGAGCGCAACCCUUGUUCACUGUUGCCAGCACGUUAUGGUGGGGACUCAGUGGAGACCGCCGGGGUCAACUCGGAGGAAGGUGGGGAUGACGUCAAGUCAUCAUGCCCCUUAUGUCCAGGGCUUCACGCAUGCUACAAUGGCUGGUACAGAGAGUGGCGAGCCUGUGAGGGUGAGCGAAUCUCGGAAAGCCGGUCUCAGUUCGGAUUGGGGUCUGCAACUCGACCUCAUGAAGUCGGAGUCGCUAGUAAUCGCAGAUCAGCAACGCUGCGGUGAAUACGUUCCCGGG
This 1343-nucleotide ribosomal RNA is filed under the name uncultured bacterium. RNAcentral describes it as "16S ribosomal RNA". It matches the Rfam family "Bacterial small subunit ribosomal RNA", at positions 28 to 1378 of the family's 1533-position model. The record is from RNAcentral.